RNAcentral lists this unclassified non-coding RNA (376 nucleotides) under soil metagenome. Its description in RNAcentral is "partial contains 5.8S ribosomal RNA, internal transcribed spacer 2, and large subunit ribosomal RNA". The stretch from base 1 to 121 matches the Rfam family "5.8S ribosomal RNA", at positions 35 to 154 of the family's 154-position model. The record is from RNAcentral.
GAUGAAGAACGUAGUGAACGUGCGAAACGUAAUGUGAAUUGCAGAAUUCAGUGAAUCAUCGAAUCUUUGAACGCAUCUUGCGCUCCUUGGUAUUCCGAGGAGCAUGCCUGUUUGAGUGUCGUGAAAUACUCUCAAUUUCAAUCUUUCUUUUUGGGGGACUUGAAAUUGGAUUUGGGUGUUGUUGUGUUGAUUUCACAGCUCAUCCUAAAUGCAUUAGCGAUCUGCCUUCGAUCACACACAAUGUGAUAAGAAAAAGCAUUGUUAGCAUCAAGUCAGGGUUGCUUCGAACCGUCCUUUUGGACACCAUUUCUAUGUCAUUUGACCUCAGAUCAGGCAGGACUACCCGCUGAACUUAAGCAUAUCAAUAAGCGGAGGA